Molecule: long non-coding RNA, 1132 nt
Organism: Arachis stenosperma
Lineage: Eukaryota; Viridiplantae; Streptophyta; Magnoliopsida; Fabales; Fabaceae
Exons: 2
Source: RefSeq, a predicted model, not a curated record
UCCUGUCUCUCUCUAAAGCAAAGCAAAACAUAUCAAUAAAACUAAAAAUCAAUCGUUCUUCAUCUUCUCCAAUUUCCUUAAUAUCAUUCGUCCCCCUCUCCCCAUUCUGAAGCAAAACAGUGGAAGUCCCAAACAAAAACAAUAAAACCCUAGCCCUAGGUUCGUUGUCGCUGCCGUCCCCUGUCUCAGCGCUUUCGCUUCUUCCUCUUCCCUCUGUCCGGAACCCAGGCAGCUCGGCACGCCGUCCCCAUCUUCACUGGCUUCUCUGUCCGUGGCUUGGAGCAGCUUCUCUCGAAACCUAGCUUCUCUCGCUCUCUUCUCUCAGUCUCGCCCUCGCACAAUCUUGCAGUCGCUCUCUGCUGCUCACAGUCUCACCCUUGCAGAGUCGCAAUCCCACCAGCCGCCAGCACCGAAGCCUUCUUCCCAGUUCCCAGCGAGCAUCGACCCAGCAGGCAGCAGCGUUCUUCCAGCAGCGCCCAGCGUCGCCAGCGAGCACCGACCCAGGAACGUUCUUCCCAGCAGUGACAAGCCACCGACCCCAGUUCCCACCGAGCCUCCAUCGUCUUCUGAAAAUUGCUUCUGAUUGCUGGUUCACUAGUUCAGUGGGUUUCUCUCCAUGCAUCAAUCCUAGACCACAUGUUUUUUGUGUGAUGGCAUGCACAUUAAGAAGACCUUCAACCAAAAAAUUGACCUAAAGCUCUUUAUAUAAGGAAGAGAGCUUUUGUUCAUUUAAUCAUGCAGAAAGCAUCAUGGGAACGUCCUGUAUAUUGAGGCUGCAGAAAAUGGCUGCCAUCUUUACCAACUAUUCCUGAAGUGUAGAACUAUUGAAUAGUUGUAAAAUUUUUGCAGUUAAUAUUAUUUACAACUCUUACAACAUUUUCUGAGAGGUUCUGGGUUGUGUGUAUCUACUAAAUAAUAUCAAGGAUGUUUACUUGCUUAAAUUUUUAAAAGUAAUAGCAGGGAGAACCAAUAGUUGUUAACUUUCAUUACUUUAGAGAUAUUACUGGUAGAAUCUGCAUGUGUUCAAUUGUUUUCAAAUAAAAUAUUGUAAUAAUCCUUAUGGCUAUGCAGUUUAGAAUUUAUAUAGAAUGAGUCUUGAGUCUUGAGAUCACUCAGGAACAAUUUUCUUCAC